GAUGAACGCUGGCGGCGUGCCUAAUACAUGCAAGUAGAACGCUGAAGCUUGGUGCUUGCUCCGAGCGUAUGUGUUGCGAACGUGUGAGUAACGCGUAGGUCCCCUGCCUCUUAGCGGGGGAUCACUAUUAGACACGAUCUCUAAUACCGCAUUAGAGUCGACAUCGCAUGAUGUUGACUUGAAAGGUGCAAUUGCAUCACUAAGAGAUGGACCUGCGUUGUAUUAGCUAGUUGGUGAGGUAACGGCUCACCAAGGCGACGAUACAUAGCCGACCUGAGAGGGUGAUCGGCCACACUGGGACUGAGACACGGCCCAGACUCCUACGGGAGGCAGCAGUAGGGAAUCUUCGGCAAUGGGGGCAAGCCUGACCGAGCAACGCCGCGUGAGGGAAGAAGGUUUUCGGAUCGUAAAGCUCUGUUGUAAGAGAAGAACGAGUGUGAGAGUGGAAAGUUCACACUGUGACGGUAACUUACCAGAAAGGGACGGCUAACUACGUG
RNAcentral lists this ribosomal RNA (497 nucleotides) under uncultured bacterium. Its description in RNAcentral is "partial 16S ribosomal RNA". It matches the Rfam family "Bacterial small subunit ribosomal RNA", at positions 28 to 507 of the family's 1533-position model. The record is from RNAcentral.